UACAGAGGUGGCAAGCGUUGUUCGGAAUUACUGGGCGUAAAGGGCGCGUAGGCGGCCAUCUAAGUCAGACGUGAAAUCCCCCGGCUUAACCUGGGAACUGCGUCUGAUACUGGACGGCUUGAGUUUGGGAGAGGGAUGCAGAAUUCCAGGUGUAGCGGUGAAAUGCGUAGAUAUCUGGAGGAACACCGGUGGCGAAGGCGGCAUCCUGGACCAAUACUGACGCUGAGGAGCGAAAGCCAGGGGAGCAAACGGG
Molecule: ribosomal RNA, 253 nt
Filed under: uncultured bacterium
Lineage: Bacteria
Description: partial 16S ribosomal RNA
Rfam family: Bacterial small subunit ribosomal RNA
Source: RNAcentral